This 445-nucleotide ribosomal RNA is filed under the name Bufo gargarizans (Asiatic toad). Its description in RNAcentral is "partial 12S ribosomal RNA". It matches the Rfam family "Bacterial small subunit ribosomal RNA", at positions 885 to 1522 of the family's 1533-position model. Lineage: Eukaryota; Metazoa; Chordata; Amphibia; Anura; Bufonidae. The record is from RNAcentral.
AGCUAAGCUUAAAACCCAAAGGACUUGACGGUACCCCAUAUCCCCCUAGAGGAGCCUGUCCUAUAAUCGAUAAUCCACGUUAAACCUCACCAUUUUUAGUUAAUCAGCCUGUAUACCUCCGUCGUCAGCUUACCACGUGAGCGCCAAUUAGUGAGCCUAAUGUUUAUUCACCAACACGUCAGGUCAAGGUGCAGCAAAUGAAAUGGAAAGAGAUGGGCUACACUUUCUAAAUUAGAAGAAACGAAAAACUAUCUAUGAAAUCCUAGUUAAAAGGCGGAUUUAGCAGUAAAAAGGAAUCAGCACGUCCAUUUUAACCCGGCACUGGGGUGUGUACACACCGCCCGUCACCCUCUUCAAAGCUAUCAGCCUAGUCCUUAACAAACUAAAGCACGACAGAAGAGGCAAGUCGUAACAUGGUAAGUAUACCGGAAGGUGUGCUUGGAAA